This 468-nucleotide ribosomal RNA is filed under the name uncultured bacterium. RNAcentral's name for it is "partial 16S ribosomal RNA". It matches the Rfam family "Bacterial small subunit ribosomal RNA", at positions 28 to 507 of the family's 1533-position model. The record is from RNAcentral.
GACGAACGCUGGCGGCGUGCUUAACACAUGCAAGUCGAACGGAAAGGCCCUGCUUUUGUGGGGUGCUCGAGUGGCGAACGGGUGAGUAACACGUGAGUAACCUGCCCUUGACUUUGGGAUAACUUCAGGAAACUGGGGCUAAUACCGGAUAGGAGCUCCUGCUGCAUGGUGGGGGUUGGAAAGUUUCGGCGGUUGGGGAUGGACUCGCGGCUUAUCAGCUUGUUGGUGGGGUAGUGGCUUACCAAGGCUUUGACGGGUAGCCGGCCUGAGAGGGUGACCGGACACAAUGGGACUGAGAUAGGGCGCAGACUCCCACGGGAGGCAGUAGGGGGGAAUAUUGCACAAUGGGCGGAAGCGUGAUGCAGCAACGCCGCGUGCGUGAUGACGGCCUUCGGGUUGUAAACCGCUGUCGACUGUGACGAAGCGUGAGUGACGGUAAUGGGUAAAGAAGCACCGGCUAACUACGUG